AAUCUUAUAGUUUAAUUAAAACAUUAAAUUGCAAGUUUAAUAUUGAUCUUUAUCUAAGAUUU
This 62-nucleotide transfer RNA is filed under the name Atkinsoniella warpa. Its description in RNAcentral is "tRNA-Cys". Lineage: Eukaryota; Metazoa; Arthropoda; Insecta; Hemiptera; Cicadellidae. The record is from RNAcentral.